Molecule: transfer RNA, 73 nt
Filed under: Camelus bactrianus (Bactrian camel)
Lineage: Eukaryota; Metazoa; Chordata; Mammalia; Artiodactyla; Camelidae
Also listed under: 2 other names
Rfam family: tRNA
About the family: Transfer RNA (tRNA) molecules are approximately 80 nucleotides in length. Their secondary structure includes four short double-helical elements and three loops (D, anti-codon, and T loops). Further hydrogen bonds mediate the characteristic L-shaped molecular structure. tRNAs have two regions of fundamental functional importance: the anti-codon, which is responsible for specific mRNA codon recognition, and the 3' end, to which the tRNAs corresponding amino acid is attached (by aminoacyl-tRNA synthetases). tRNAs cope with the degeneracy of the genetic code in two manners: having more than one tRNA (with a specific anti-codon) for a particular amino acid; and 'wobble' base-pairing, i.e. permitting non-standard base-pairing at the 3rd anti-codon position.
Source: Rfam by way of RNAcentral
GAGGGUAACAGCUCAGUGGUAGAGUGCAUGCUUAGCACGCAUGAGGUCCUGGGUUCAAUCCCCAGUACCUCCA